UGGGGAAUAUUGCACAAUGGGCGCAAGCCUGAUGCAGCCAUGCCGCGUGUGUGAAGAAGGCCUUCGGGUUGUAAAGCACUUUCAGCGGGGAGGAAGGCGGUGAGGUUAAUAACCUCAUCGAUUGACGUUACCCGCAGAAGAAGCACCGGCUAACUCCGUGCCAGCAGCCGCGGUAAUACGGAGGGUGCAAGCGUUAAUCGGAAUUACUGGGCGUAAAGCGCACGCAGGCGGUCUGUCAAGUCGGAUGUGAAAUCCCCGGGCUUAACCUGGGAACUGCAUUCGAAACUGGCAGGCUAGAGUCUUGUAGAGGGGGGUAGGAUUCCAGGUGUGGCGGUGAAAUGCGUAGACAUCUGGCGGGAUACCGGUGGCGAAGGCGGCCCCCUGGACAAAGAAUGACGCUCAGGUGCGAAAGCGUGGGGAGCAAACAGG
Molecule: ribosomal RNA, 429 nt
Filed under: Chloroflexota bacterium
Lineage: Bacteria; Bacillati; Chloroflexota
Description: Chloroflexi bacterium partial 16S ribosomal RNA
Rfam family: Bacterial small subunit ribosomal RNA
Source: RNAcentral